This 55-nucleotide small nucleolar RNA is filed under the name Cuniculiplasma divulgatum. Its description in RNAcentral is "C/D box methylation guide snoRNA". The record is from RNAcentral. Lineage: Archaea; Methanobacteriati; Thermoplasmatota; Thermoplasmata; Thermoplasmatales; Cuniculiplasmataceae.
CGCUGUGAUGAAUUCAGCCUUGACUGAUUUGUGAUGAAUGACAGGCAGACUGAGC